GGAUCCUCUCACCAUACAUUAGCCAAACGUUUGUCGAAGAAAAGUUUAUUCAAUUUCCGUAAAAAAAAGAAAAAAAUCCAUCGACCAACUUUAGGUAUGAUUGAAAGGGAUACUCUGUUCUUUACCGAAAAGAAAAAAAAAAAAGGAUACUGUUGUGCUUUAGUCUAAUAAAGCUUCUCUUUUGUCAGACUCGGGCAUUUCUGACAAAAUAAUUGACCC
Molecule: long non-coding RNA, 219 nt
Filed under: Elaeis guineensis (African oil palm)
Lineage: Eukaryota; Viridiplantae; Streptophyta; Magnoliopsida; Arecales; Arecaceae
Description: long non-coding RNA (EGUI_LNC061361)
Source: RNAcentral